GGUUGUAGCUCAGUGGUAGAGCGCUUGCCUAGCAUGUUGAGGCUCUGGGUUUGAUUCUCAGCACCA
Molecule: transfer RNA, 66 nt
Filed under: Marmota monax (woodchuck)
Lineage: Eukaryota; Metazoa; Chordata; Mammalia; Rodentia; Sciuridae
Description: tRNA.Ala
Source: RNAcentral